UUGGGGUGAGGUAGUAGGUUGUAUAGUUUUGGGGUUAUGCCCUGCCUAUCAGAUAACUAUACAAUCUACUGUCUUUCCUGA
Molecule: microRNA precursor, 81 nt
Filed under: Cariama cristata (Red-legged seriema)
Lineage: Eukaryota; Metazoa; Chordata; Aves; Cariamiformes; Cariamidae
Also listed under: 1 other name
Description: let-7 microRNA precursor family
Rfam family: let-7 microRNA precursor family
About the family: This family represents the microRNAs (miRNA) let-7 and mir-98. let-7 was identified from a study of developmental timing in C. elegans, and was later shown to be part of a much larger class of non-coding RNAs termed miRNAs. The extents of the hairpin precursors are not generally known and are estimated based on hairpin prediction.
Source: Rfam by way of RNAcentral